RNAcentral lists this ribosomal RNA (484 nucleotides) under uncultured bacterium. RNAcentral's name for it is "partial 16S ribosomal RNA". It matches the Rfam family "Bacterial small subunit ribosomal RNA", at positions 30 to 507 of the family's 1533-position model. The record is from RNAcentral.
AUUGAACGCUAGCGGGAUGCUUUACACAUGCAAGUCGAACGGCAGCGCGGACUUCGGUCUGGCGGCGAGUGGCGAACGGGUGAGUAAUGUAUCGGAACGUGCCCAGUAGCGGGGGAUAACUACGCGAAAGCGUAGCUAAUACCGCAUACGCCCUACGGGGGAAAGCAGGGGAUCGUAAGACCUUGCACUAUUGGAGCAGCCGAGAUCGGAUUAGCUAGUUGGUGAGGUAACGGCUUACCAAGGCGACGAUCCGUAGCUGGUUUGAGAGGACGACCAGCCACACUGGGACUGAGACACGGCCCAGACUCCUACGGGAGGCAGCAGUGGGGAAUUUUGGACAAUGGGGGAAACCCUGAUCCAGCCAUCCCGCGUGUGUGAUGAAGGCCUUCGGGUUGUAAAGCACUUUUGGCAGGAAAGAAACGUCGCGGGCUAAUACCCCGUGGAACUGACGGUACCUGCAGAAUAAGCACCGGCUAACUACGUG